UACAUAGUGACUUGAUGACCUGGGAAGGACCCAAAUUUGCUCAUCUUUGAAAUGAGAAGUUUAAACAACUUCCUGCUGGUGGGAAAAAGCUACAUAUCAUUUCCUUCUGAAAAUGAGAACAAAGGAAGAGACAAUUUGAACACAUAGACACCAGGGACACCCAAACAAAAGAAUGACUACAUGCAGACAAAGCAACAAGAUGGACAUCUACAAGCCAAACAGAGAAUCCUCUGGAACCAACUCUGUCCACACCUUGAUCUUGAAUUUCCAGCCUCCAGAACUGUGAGAAAAGAAAUUUCUGUUGUUGAAGCCACAUGGCCUGUAGCAUUUUGUUUUGGCAGCCCUAUGGCAUCCAAUUUGGGAUAAUUGAGACUUCAGAUUCACACUGAGCCCUAUAGUACAAUAUAGAACAAGCCAUUUGUGGUGUCUUUUUACUCCAGACCUGUGGGCAGUGUGGUCAAAGAAGACUUCUGCAGACAAAGGC
Long non-coding RNA from Marmota monax (woodchuck), 484 nucleotides. RefSeq lists it as uncharacterized. NCBI's taxonomy places the organism in Eukaryota, Metazoa, Chordata, Mammalia, Rodentia, Sciuridae. The record is from RefSeq and is a predicted model, not a curated record. The transcript is spliced from 3 exons.